GAUGAACGCUGGCGGCGUGCCUAAUACAUGCAAGUCGAGCGAACGGACGAUAAUCUUGUUUCUCGGAUGUUAGGGGCGGACGGGUGAGUAACACGUGGAUAACCUCCCUAUAAGACGGGGAUAACUUCGGGAAUCGGGCGCUAAUACCGGAUGAUAUUCUGAACCGCAUGGUUGAAAAGUGAAAGACGGUCUUGCUGGCAGUUAUAGCUGGAUACGCGCUGCAUUAGCUAGUUGUUAAGGUAACGGCUUACCAAGGCAACGAUGCAUAGCCGACCUGAGAGAGUGAUCGGCCACACUGGAACUUGAACAGCCACCAUGCGACUGCGGGACGCCGCAGAAGGCUAUCUUACGCAGUGGGGGAGAACAUGACGCAGCAACGCCACGUCAGUGGUGACGAUCCUCCGAGCGUAAAGAUCUGUUAUUAGUGGAGAACAUAUGUGUAAGUAACUGUGCACAUCUUGACGGUACCUAGUCAGAAAGCAACGGCUAACUACGUG
Molecule: ribosomal RNA, 497 nt
Filed under: uncultured bacterium
Lineage: Bacteria
Description: partial 16S ribosomal RNA
Rfam family: Bacterial small subunit ribosomal RNA
Source: RNAcentral